UACGUAGGGUGCGAGCGUUAAUCGGAAUUACUGGGCGUAAAGCGCACGUAGGCGGCUUGGUAUGUCGGGUGUGAAAUCCCCGGGCUCAACCUGGGAACUGCAUCCGAAACUGCCUUGCUCGAGUAUGGGAGAGGGAAGUGGAAUUUCCGGUGUAGCGGUGAAAUGCGUAGAUAUCGGGAGGAACACCAGUGGCGAAGGCGACUACCUGGCCCAUUCUUGACGCUGAGGCGCGAAAGCUAGGGGAGCGAACGGG
This 253-nucleotide ribosomal RNA is filed under the name uncultured bacterium. Its description in RNAcentral is "partial 16S ribosomal RNA". It matches the Rfam family "Bacterial small subunit ribosomal RNA", at positions 524 to 776 of the family's 1533-position model. The record is from RNAcentral.